AGGAGGAGGAGAAGGAGUAACAGAAUCAAAAGAAGCAGAAACUGGAGAAGGUUGAUGGACAGAUGAGGGAGAAUCAGGGAGAUCAUCAUUUUCUCCGGAAGGGAAAUGAGGUAAGGAAGAAGCAGUAGGCAUGGGAGAAUCAGUCAAAGCAUCAUCUUCUCCAGAAUGAACAUAAGGGAAUGAGGAAGCAGAAGGAAAAA
RNAcentral lists this long non-coding RNA (200 nucleotides) under Nicotiana benthamiana. RNAcentral describes it as "long non-coding RNA (NBEN_LNC000006)". Lineage: Eukaryota; Viridiplantae; Streptophyta; Magnoliopsida; Solanales; Solanaceae. The record is from RNAcentral.